Non-coding RNA from Trichobilharzia regenti, 73 nucleotides. The record is from Rfam. NCBI's taxonomy places the organism in Eukaryota, Metazoa, Platyhelminthes, Trematoda, Strigeidida, Schistosomatidae.
GCGUCGGUGGCAUAGAGGUUAGGACGCUCGGCAACCAUGCAUUUGGUCCGGGGUUCGAUUCCCGGCCGACGCA